RNAcentral lists this ribosomal RNA (900 nucleotides) under Triticum aestivum (bread wheat). RNAcentral describes it as "partial small subunit ribosomal RNA". Lineage: Eukaryota; Viridiplantae; Streptophyta; Magnoliopsida; Poales; Poaceae. The record is from RNAcentral.
AUGCCCGGUUCGUCUGCUACUCCAAGCGCCGCCAGGGGUUCUUCAGCAAGGCCACGGUUCGCCUUCUCUCCCCGCGGCAGGGCCUUCUCCUUCGGCCACCCCUCCGUCGACUCCGUCGUGAAACGCUUCCUGGCGGGGGAGGCUGCGGGGGCUGGCGCGAGGGAGGAGGGCGCUGCCGACCACCGCUUGCUGGCCGGGGAGGGCGCUGCCGGCGAAGACGAGAAGCUCGAGAAGCUGCAGCAGGAGUUCGACGAGCUGCGCACGGAGCUGGUCGAGUUGAAGAAGCGGACCAAGCGCACGGACAAGGCCAUGGCGAAAGAGCGCUCUGCGGGGGACCAGAUAGCGGCUUGGUUCGACCCCAAGGCGCGCGACAUGGGAGACGAGGACAUGGCGGCCUUCUUCGCCGCGCUGAUGCAGAUGAAGGACGCCGUCUCCGAUCGCGCCAACCAGGUUCUCCUCGAGGCGAUGCACGCCCACAUGAGCCGCAUGGCGGAGGUGGCCCCGCCGCCGCCGCCGCCCCAGAUCUCCUUGGAGUUCGGUAGCAGCAGCGGCACCGCCAACGACGGGAUGGAGUUCCAGUUUCUGGUGCCUCCGCCACAGGAGCAGGGUUUCGAGGCCGGGAUGGAUAUGCAGCAGAUGGUGAUGGCGCCGCUGCCUCCGUCUCAGGUGGUCACCGCCGGGAUAGAUGUGCAGGAGAUGCCUCCGCCGCCGGGGUUGGCCGCCGGGAUGGAUACGGAGCAGAUGCAGAUGACGAUGCCUAAGCCGCCGGGGUUCGACGCAGGGCUAGACAAGGAGAUAGAUCAAUGGCUUGAUGUGAUGCUGCCGCGUCCGGAGUUCACUGCCGGGAUGGAGACGGUGCAGCAGGGGCUCCAUCAACCCAACGCCGGCUUCCCGUACUGA